GCCAAGUCGAGCGGGCGAGGUUGCUUCGGUAACUGAGCUAGCGGCGGACGGGUGAGUAAAGCUUAGGAAUCUGCCUAUUAGUGGGGGACAACAUUCCGAAAGGGAUGCUAAUACCGCAUACGUCCUACGGGAGAAAGCAGGGGAUCACUUGUGACCUUGCGCUAAUAGAUGAGCCUAAGUCGGAUUAGCUAGUUGGUGGGGUAAAGGCCUACCAAGGCGACGAUCUGUAGCGGGUCUGAGAGGAUGAUCCGCCACACUGGGACUGAGACACGGCCCAGACUCCUACGGGAGGCAGCAGUGGGGAAUAUUGGACAAUGGGGGGAACCCUGAUCCAGCCAUGCCGCGUGUGUGAAGAAGGCCUUUUGGUUGUAAAGCACUUUAAGCGAGGAGGAGGCUUACCUGGUUAAUACCUGGGAUAAGUGGACGUUACUCGCAGAAUAAGCACCGGCUAACUCUGUGCCAGCAGCCGCGGUAAUACAGAGGGUGCGAGCGUUAAUCGGAUUUACUGGGCGUAAAGCGCGCGUAGGUGGUUAAUUAAGUCAAAUGUGAAAUCCCCGAGCUUAACUUGGGAAUUGCAUUCGAUACUGGUUAGCUAGAGUAUGGGAGAGGAUGGUAGAAUUCCAGGUGUAGCGGUGAAAUGCGUAGAGAUCUGGAGGAAUACCGAUGGCGAAGGCAGCCAUCUGGCCUAAUACUGACACUGAGGUGCGAAAGCAUGGGGAGCAAACAGGAUUAGAUACCCUGGUAGUCCAUGCCGUAAACGAUGUCUACUAGCCGUUGGGGGAUUUGAUCUUUUAGUGGCGCAGCUAACGCGAUAAGUAGACCGCCUGGGGAGUACGGUCGCAAGACUAAAACUCAAAUGAAUUGACGGGUGCCCGCACAAGCGGUGGAGCAUGUGGUUUAUUCGUUGCAUCGCUGAAAACUUUACUUGGU
Molecule: ribosomal RNA, 930 nt
Filed under: Acinetobacter sp. NF405
Lineage: Bacteria; Pseudomonadati; Pseudomonadota; Gammaproteobacteria; Moraxellales; Moraxellaceae
Description: bacterial SSU rRNA
Rfam family: Bacterial small subunit ribosomal RNA
Source: RNAcentral